CAGUACGGCGAGUGAAGCGGCAACAGCUCAAUUUGAAAUCUGGCCGUUUACGGUCCGAGUUGUAAUUUGUAGAGGAUGUUUUGGGUACCGCCCCGGUUUAAAUUUCUUGGAACAGAAUGUCAAAGAGGGUGAGAGUCCCGUCUUGGACCGCGGUAGGGCCUGUGUAAAACUCCUUCGACGAGUCGACUUGUUUGGGAAUGCAGGUCAAAAUGGGUGGUAAAUUUCAUCUAAAGCUAAAUAUUGGCCAGAGACCGAUAGCGCACAAGUAGAGUGAUCGAAAGAUGAAAAGCACUUUGAAAAGAGAGUUAAACAGUAUGUGAAAUUGUUGAAAGGGAAGCGCUGGCAACCAGACUCGUGCGCGGGGUUCCCCCUUGCUUCUGCUUGGGUCACUUCCCCGUGUCCGGGCCAUCAUCAGUUUCGGGGGCCGGUUAAAGGCCUUGGGAAUGUAUCCACGCCUUCGGGGGUGGACUUAUAGCCCAGGGUGUCAUGCGGCCACCCGGGACUGAGGAACGCGCUUCGGCGAGGAUGAUGGCGUAAUGGUUGUCAGCGGCCCGUCUUGAAACACGGAC
This 569-nucleotide ribosomal RNA is filed under the name Knufia marmoricola. Its description in RNAcentral is "partial large subunit ribosomal RNA". It matches the Rfam family "Eukaryotic large subunit ribosomal RNA", at positions 81 to 666 of the family's 3401-position model. The record is from RNAcentral. Lineage: Eukaryota; Fungi; Ascomycota; Eurotiomycetes; Chaetothyriales; Trichomeriaceae.